RNAcentral lists this ribosomal RNA (1008 nucleotides) under Staphylococcus aureus. RNAcentral describes it as "partial 23S ribosomal RNA". It matches the Rfam family "Bacterial large subunit ribosomal RNA", at positions 550 to 1561 of the family's 2925-position model. Lineage: Bacteria; Bacillati; Bacillota; Bacilli; Caryophanales; Staphylococcaceae. The record is from RNAcentral.
CUGAAACCGUGUGCUUACAAGUAGUCAGAGCCCGUUAAUGGGUGAUGGCGUGCCUUUUGUAGAAUGAACCGGCGAGUUACGAUUUGAUGCAAGGUUAAGCAGUAAAUGUGGAGCCGUAGCGAAAGCGAGUCUGAAUAGGGCGUUUAGUAUUUGGUCGUAGACCCGAAACCAGGUGAUCUACCCUUGGUCAGGUUGAAGUUCAGGUAACACUGAAUGGAGGACCGAACCGACUUACGUUGAAAAGUGAGCGGAUGAACUGAGGGUAGCGGAGAAAUUCCAAUCGAACCUGGAGAUAGCUGGUUCUCUCCGAAAUAGCUUUAGGGCUAGCCUCAAGUGAUGAUUAUUGGAGGUAGAGCACUGUUUGGACGAGGGGCCCCUCUCGGGUUACCGAAUUCAGACAAACUCCGAAUGCCAAUUAAUUUAACUUGGGAGUCAGAACAUGGGUGAUAAGGUCCGUGUUCGAAAGGGAAACAGCCCAGACCACCAGCUAAGGUCCCAAAAUAUAUGUUAAGUGGAAAAGGAUGUGGCGUUGCCCAGACAACUAGGAUGUUGGCUUAGAAGCAGCCAUCAUUUAAAGAGUGCGUAAUAGCUCACUAGUCGAGUGACACUGCGCCGAAAAUGUACCGGGGCUAAACAUAUUACCGAAGCUGUGGAUUGUCCUUUGGACAAUGGUAGGAGAGCGUUCUAAGGGCGUUGAAGCAUGAUCGUAAGGACAUGUGGAGCGCUUAGAAGUGAGAAUGCCGGUGUGAGUAGCGAAAGACGGGUGAGAAUCCCGUCCACCGAUUGACUAAGGUUUCCAGAGGAAGGCUCGUCCGCUCUGGGUUAGUCGGGUCCUAAGCUGAGGCCGACAGGCGUAGGCGAUGGAUAACAGGUUGAUAUUCCUGUACCACCUAUAAUCGUUUUAAUCGAUGGGGGGACGCAGUAGGAUAGGCGAAGCGUGCGAUUGGAUUGCACGUCUAAGCAGUAAGGCUGAGUAUUAGGCAAAUCCGGUACUCGUUAAGGCUGAGC